Molecule: long non-coding RNA, 814 nt
Organism: Magallana angulata
Lineage: Eukaryota; Metazoa; Mollusca; Bivalvia; Ostreida; Ostreidae
Exons: 2
Source: RefSeq, a predicted model, not a curated record
GGUCUGACAUUUUAAUUAAUCUGCCAUAAUAUAGUCCGCACCAUAUGAAUCAAAGUUACCGUAUCAAGAGAUUAUUUCUUAAGAGUGCAAAAUUUUUUAACACAGGUAUUCAAUCAAAAUACCUGCUGGUCAGAUUUUUUAAAGAUCAAUCAGCAUGAAAUUCAUAGAAAUGAAUUGGUAUGACUAUAUAAGCAAAAGCAUUUUAUACAGCACAGUGGCAAAAGUACUUCACAGCUGUAUAUAAAAGAUCUACUACACCUUCAGAUUACUGUCAGGUGCUCCAAUAGACUUACUCAUCACAAGUUGUUUUCCUCUCCUUCGUACAGCAUGUGAAAAGCUAAUUGGAAAGUAGAACUUGAAAGAUGUUUGGCUCAAGGCAAGAAAAAAAUCGCUAUCUGUCAUUAAGGAAACAUUUCACUGCAUUAGAUCACAAGUGGCAAUUGAAGACAUAAGUACAACUCUAGAAUGCAAAAAACUACAAAUGAAAGACAUUUUAAAGUCUGGGCCCAUUUUUCUUCAUAUUGCUUAUUAAAACAAGGAAUUUUCUAAUGAUUUCUACAUAACCUGAGAAUUCUCAGUUUUCAAGAGUUAGUAUAAAACUCAUUAUGUUAUAUUAAACAAGUAAUUGUUUUAAAUGCUCAAAGUCUCAAGAGAAUUGAAAUAUGAGAAAUUUGAUUUUCUUAAAUCUAUAUUUGCAAUUCUGUUUUUGGGAGAGAAGAAUUCUUGUAGCAACAUGCUCAGCUUGUUUGCAUUUCAAGCAUCUUUUUUUACUUCUUUGAUGUUGUUACAUGUCAAUAAAUGAAUUUUCCUCAAG